Molecule: unclassified non-coding RNA, 775 nt
Filed under: Hevea brasiliensis (rubber tree)
Lineage: Eukaryota; Viridiplantae; Streptophyta; Magnoliopsida; Malpighiales; Euphorbiaceae
Source: RNAcentral
GCGCACACGUGCUAACCACAGUUAAAAGUUGCAGUGUCUUGGGAAAACAAACAAUUACAGACGAUGUAACAUCAACACACUUGAAUACACGUGAAAAGUUUGAAAACAUUUGGGGGGGUUCCCGGAAAGGACAAAAGCGAGGAAUAGUUAAGAGAAACACUUAAGAAAACACAAAGGGCAAGAUUUUUGUCUCUGUAAAUGACAUAAAAGAAAGUAACAAAAUAGCUCACUUACGGUUCAAACUCCUACAUGAAAAUGGUAAAACUAACUGCUAAAACACAUAUAAAUGUAAAACAAAACUUCUGCAGAUCCAAUUAAGCAAAAGUGUCCAUCAAAAACCUCUGCCAAGUUGAAACUUCCACAAGCUUACAGCUUGUCCUCAAACUCGGAUAGAGGGGUCAUCUGAUCCUUCAAACCCUUCCUCUUGCGGAUAUCAAGGACGAGUUGAUGAGCUUGUGAGCCAGCUUCCAAUGGGUCAGAGGACAUCAUUUCCCAAUGAUCAAACACACACUGUGGGAAGGCUUGACCUGAAGUAGCAGCUCUCAAGGUACCUGAAAAUCCAAAAGACUCAACAACAGGAAGGUAAGCCUUGAUGUUGUAAAGAGGAGUUCCUGGCCUCUGCAUCUCCUCAAACACGUGUCCACGCUUCUGAUUCAGAACACUAUAGAUACCACCAAGGGCUUGCUCCGGAGCCUGAAUUUCCACAAGGUAAACGGGCUCCAACAGGCGGGGUUUAGCAGUAAGCUGAGAAGCAUAGAUAACCCUCCUAGCAGUG